CCCUUAGAUGUUCUGGGCCGCACGCGCGCUACACUGACGAAUGCAACGAGCUUAUAACCUUGGCCGAAAGGUCUGGGUAAUCUCCAAAUUUCGUCGUGAUGGGGAUAGAUUAUUGCAAUUAUUAAUCUUCAACGAGGAAUGCCUAGUAAGCGCAAGUCAUCAGCUUGCGUUGAUUACGUCCCUGCCCUUUGUACACACCGCCCAUCGCUCCUACCGAUUGAAUGGUCCGGUGAAGCGUUCGGACCGUGGCCUUUGGACGGUUCGCCGUCUGUUGGCUGCGGGAAGUUCGUUAAACCUUAUCAUUUAGAGGAAGGAGAAGUCGUAACA
RNAcentral lists this ribosomal RNA (327 nucleotides) under uncultured eukaryote. Its description in RNAcentral is "partial 18S ribosomal RNA". It matches the Rfam family "Eukaryotic small subunit ribosomal RNA", at positions 1470 to 1796 of the family's 1831-position model. The record is from RNAcentral.